RNAcentral lists this long non-coding RNA (309 nucleotides) under Sorghum bicolor (sorghum). Its description in RNAcentral is "long non-coding RNA (SBIC_LNC009608)". Lineage: Eukaryota; Viridiplantae; Streptophyta; Magnoliopsida; Poales; Poaceae. The record is from RNAcentral.
CAUGAAUUACUAUCGCAUCGAAUGCCUUUUUGAUGCAAUGAAGACCACAUAUUGCAUCAGAUUUGCUAAAUUGAUGCAAUAGCACCCACAUAUUGCAUCAAAUUCGUGUUUGAUGCAAAGCAAAGAGAUGCGAUAGGGUCAAAAAUUAGUAGUGGGUUUGUUCAUGGAAUUUGUCGUUUUAUCGGAUGUGUUGUUGAACUUGUGGUUUCCUCAGACUUGUGAUGGACUUGGUGAUGAACAUGUGUUUAUGUAUGUGACAUGUACGUUAUAUGUAUGUGAGAGAUUUGGUAUAUCGUGGUUAUUGUGGCA